AUGACCACUAUUCGCACACUUCUUGUUGUGGCCUCUAUUGGCCAUUGGUCUGUUUCUCAGCUUGAUGUUAAGAAUGCCUUUCUUAAUGGUGAGUUGCGUGAGGAGGUUUAUAUGCAGCCACCACCUGGGUAUUCUGUUCCUGGUGGCAUGGUAUGUCGUCUUCGUCGCUCUCUUUAUGGCCUUAAGCAAGCCACUCGCACCUGGUUUGAGCGUUUUGCCUCUGUGGUGACCGCCGCUGGUUUUUCAGCGAGUGCUCAUGAUCCGACACUGUUUGCCCACCUUUCAGCUCGUGGUCGGACUCUUCUUCUCACUGGCGACGACCCUGAGUACAUUGCCUUUGUCAAGGCCCGUCUCAGUGAGCAGUUUCUUAUGUCUGAUCUUGGUCCUCUUCAUUACUUUCUUGGGAUUGAGGUUUCCUCCACCUCUGAUGGCUUUUUUAUUUCCCAAGAAAAAUAUAUCCAGGAUCUUCUUACUCAUGCGGCUCUUAGUGAUGAGCGCACUAUAGAGACUCCUAUGGAGCUCUGUUCAUGUUCGCGCUUCUGA
Molecule: ribosomal RNA, 543 nt
Filed under: Triticum aestivum (bread wheat)
Lineage: Eukaryota; Viridiplantae; Streptophyta; Magnoliopsida; Poales; Poaceae
Description: partial small subunit ribosomal RNA
Source: RNAcentral